RNAcentral lists this ribosomal RNA (407 nucleotides) under uncultured bacterium. RNAcentral's name for it is "partial 16S ribosomal RNA". It matches the Rfam family "Bacterial small subunit ribosomal RNA", at positions 28 to 526 of the family's 1533-position model. The record is from RNAcentral.
GACGAACGCUGGCGGCGUGCCUAAUACAUGCAAGUAGAACGCAGUUGCGAACGGGUGAGUAACGCGUAGGUAACUGCCUGGUAGCGGGGGAUAACUUUUGGAAACGAUAGCUAAUAUCGCAUACUACCAGAUGGACCUGCGUUGUAGUAGCUAUUUUGUGGUGUAACGGCUCACCAAGGCCACGAUACAUAGCCGACCCGAGGGGGUUGUCGGCCACAAUUGGAAUGAGACACGGCCCAGACUCCUACGGGAGGCAGCAGGAGGGAAUCUUCGGCAAUUGACGGAAGGCUGACCGAGCAACGCCGCGUGAGUGAAGAAGGUUUUCGGAUCGUAAAGCCCUGUUGUAAGAGGAGCGGUAUCUUACCAGAAAGGGACGGCUAACUACGUGCCAGCAGCCGCGGUAAUAC